GAAAUGCGAUAAGUAGUGUGAAUUGCAGAAUUCAGUGAAUCAUCGAAUCUUUGAACGCACAUUGCGCCCCUUGGUAUUCCAUGGGGCAUGCCUGUUCGAGCGUCAUUUGUACCUUCAAGCUUUGCUUGGUGUUGGGUGUUUGUCUCGCCUCUGCGUGUAGACUCGCCUCAAAACAAUUGGCAGCCGGCGUAUUGAUUUCGGAGCGCAGUACAUCUCGCGCUUUGCACUCAAAACGACGACGUCCAAAAGUACAUUUUUACACUCUUGACCUCGGAUCAGGUAGGGAUACCCGCUGAACUUAAGC
Molecule: unclassified non-coding RNA, 304 nt
Filed under: plant metagenome
Description: partial contains 5.8S ribosomal RNA, internal transcribed spacer 2, and large subunit ribosomal RNA
Rfam family: 5.8S ribosomal RNA (bases 1-105)
Source: RNAcentral